AGCGUAGGCGGUCGAUUAAGUUGGAUGUGAAAUACCCGGGCUUAACUUGGGGGUGCAUCCAAUACUGGUGGACUAGAGUACAGGAGAGGAAAGCGGAAUUCCUGGUGUAGCGGUGAAAUGCAUAGAUAUCAGGAGGAACAUCGGUGGCGAAGGCGGCUUUCUGGACUGACACUGACGCUGAGGCUCGAAAGCGUGGGGAGCAAACA
Molecule: ribosomal RNA, 206 nt
Filed under: uncultured bacterium
Lineage: Bacteria
Description: partial 16S ribosomal RNA
Rfam family: Bacterial small subunit ribosomal RNA
Source: RNAcentral